UGGGGAAUAUUGGACAAUGGGCGCAAGCCUGAUCCAGCCAUGCCGCGUGAGUGACGAAGGCCUUAGGGUUGUAAAGCUCUUUUGGCGGGGAAGAUAAUGACGGUACCCGCAGAAUAAGCUCCGGCUAACUUCGUGCCAGCAGCCGCGGUAAUACGAAGGGGGCUAGCGUUGUUCGGAAUCACUGGGCGUAAAGCGCACGUAGGCGGAUUUGUUAGUCAGGGGUGAAAUCCCGGGGCUCAACCUCGGAACUGCCUCUGAUACUGCAAAUCUCGAGUCCGAUAGAGGUGAGUGGAAUUCCUAGUGUAGAGGUGAAAUUCGUAGAUAUUAGGAAGAACACCAGUGGCGAAGGCGGCUCACUGGAUCGGUACUGACGCUGAGGUGCGAAAGCGUGGGGAGCAAACAGGAUUAGAUACCCCGGUAGUCCCUGAGCGGGCUGGCAAGGCGCAU
Molecule: ribosomal RNA, 447 nt
Filed under: uncultured bacterium
Lineage: Bacteria
Description: bacterial SSU rRNA
Rfam family: Bacterial small subunit ribosomal RNA
Source: RNAcentral